GGAAGCUAGGGGUGCCUGGAAGGUUAGGAGGAGACACAGCAGAGACAGGUAAUCUCAAGCGAUCGAAUGGAUAUUCCAGACCAUGUGGCAUCACGCUCAGAUUAUAAGAUUUUGCAGAUCACAAACUGAGGAAGAAAGUUUUCAAUGUGUACAGAAGGAAGGUACUGUUCUGGAUUAUGACUCAGACAGGCGGAAUAACGGUGGAAGACAACUCAUAGGCUGAGAUAAGCAGUUUACUCAAGCAAAAGCUAAAGGCUGCCUUUUCACAAACAACGAGGAAAAAUAAAAUUCUCUGCUUUCCAUUGACAAGUGCUGUUUGGCCACUUCCAGGAAACAGGACUUCAGGCUGUGUAGUGGUUGCUCUGGAAUAUCAAAAUUGCAAAUAACAAAUACACCUUGCUUCCUCCUUUUCUUACCAAUUAUAGCUGAGCUGGUGUCAUGUGGUUUGGAAUAUCCCUUUGGUUAACUUGGUCAGCUUGCCUGGCUU
This is a non-coding RNA of Zonotrichia albicollis (white-throated sparrow), 487 nucleotides long. The record is from RefSeq and is a predicted model, not a curated record. NCBI's taxonomy places the organism in Eukaryota, Metazoa, Chordata, Aves, Passeriformes, Passerellidae.